Stomoxys calcitrans (stable fly) is the source of this 448-nucleotide long non-coding RNA. RefSeq lists it as uncharacterized. NCBI's taxonomy places the organism in Eukaryota, Metazoa, Arthropoda, Insecta, Diptera, Muscidae. The record is from RefSeq and is a predicted model, not a curated record. The transcript is spliced from 2 exons.
UGACGAAAUUGAUUGACUAAUCGAAAAUAACUUCAAUUAAGAAGUUAAACGGUAACCACCACCGUGGAUUCCUCUAAAAUGUGUUUUUAUUAAAUCUGUCUGUUAUAUCGGAGAAUUCAAAUAUGGGACAAAACAAACAGAGAAGAUUGUUUUUUUUUUUCGAUUCUAUCCCACUAUGGAUCGGUUUAUCUGGGAUAAGCCGGAACCGAUUUGGCCCCUCUACAAUAACAAAAGACCUCUAUUGGAAAUCGAGCCCACGACUGCGCACUGGCAACCAGAUUAGGCUACCAACUCGGCUACCGGGGCGCCCCGCUUUACAAACUCCAUAAUGCUGCCUAAGAUAAAAUAUGCUCAUCAGUUUGAUGAGAAACUUUUAUUUUGCGGUCCAAUUUUGUUUUAUUGUGUCAUUUGGUUUACAAUUGAAAACAUUUGAUAUUUGAAAUUUUAA